This 492-nucleotide ribosomal RNA is filed under the name uncultured bacterium. RNAcentral's name for it is "partial 16S ribosomal RNA". It matches the Rfam family "Bacterial small subunit ribosomal RNA", at positions 29 to 507 of the family's 1533-position model. The record is from RNAcentral.
AGUGAACGCUGGCGGUAGGCCUAACACAUGCAAGUCGAACGGCAGCACAGUAAGAGCUUGCUCUUACGGGUGGCGAGUGGCGGACGGGUGAGGAAUACAUCGGAGUCUACUUUUUCGUGGGGGAGAACGUAGGGAAACUUACGCUAAUACCGCAUACGACCUACGGGUGAAAGCAUGGGAUCUUCGGACCUUGCGCGAGUGAAUGAGCCGAUGUCGGAUUAGCUAGUUGGCGGGGUAAAGGCCCACCAAGGCGACGAUCCGUAGCUGGUCUGAGAGGAUGAUCAGCCACACUGGAACUGAGACACGGUCCAGACUCCUACGGGAGGCAGCAGUGGGGAAUAUUGGACAAUGGGCGCAAGCCUGAUCCAGCCAUACCGCGUGGGUGAAGAAGGCCUUCGGGUUGUAAAGCCCUUUUGUUGGGAAAGAAAAGCAGCAGGUUAAUACCCCGCUGUUUUGACGGUACCCAAAGAAUAAGCACCGGCUAACUUCGUG